UGUGAGCUUGAUGAGUAGGGCGGGACACGUGGUAUCCUGUCUGAAUAUGGGGGGACCAUCCUCCAAGGCUAAAUACUCCUGACUGACCGAUAGUGAACCAGUACCGUGAGGGAAAGGCGAAAAGAACCCCGGCGAGGGGAGUGAAAAAGAACCUGAAACCGUGUACGUACAAGCAGUGGGAGCACGCUUAGGCGUGUGACUGCGUACCUUUUGUAUAAUGGGUCAGCGACUUAUAUUCUGUAGCAAGGUUAACCGAAUAGGGGAGCCGAAGGGAAACCGAGUCUUAACUGGGCGUUAAGUUGCAGGGUAUAGACCCGAAACCCGGUGAUCUAGCCAUGGGCAGGUUGAAGGUUGGGUAACACUAACUGGAGGACCGAACCGACUAAUGUUGAAAAAUUAGCGGAUGACUUGUGGCUGGGGGUGAAAGGCCAAUCAAACCGGGAGAUAGCUGGUUCUCCCCGAAAGCUAUUUAGGUAGCGCCUCGUGAAUUCAUCUCCGGGGGUAGAGCACUGUUUCGGCAAGGGGGUCAUCCCGACUUACCAACCCGAUGCAAACUGCGAAUACCGGAGAAUGUUAUCACGGGAGACACACGGCGGGUGCUAACGUCCGUCGUGAAGAGGGAAACAACCCAGACCGCCAGCUAAGGUCCCAAAGUCAUGGUUAAGUGGGAAACGAUGUGGGAAGGCCCAGACAGCCAGGAUGUUGGCUUAGAAGCAGCCAUCAUUUAAAGAAAGCGUAAUAGCUCACUGGUCGAGUCGGCCUGCGCGGAAGAUGUAACGGGGCUAAACCAU
This 791-nucleotide ribosomal RNA is filed under the name Shigella sonnei. RNAcentral describes it as "partial 23S ribosomal RNA". It matches the Rfam family "Bacterial large subunit ribosomal RNA", at positions 398 to 1190 of the family's 2925-position model. The record is from RNAcentral. Lineage: Bacteria; Pseudomonadati; Pseudomonadota; Gammaproteobacteria; Enterobacterales; Enterobacteriaceae.